Cucurbita pepo subsp. pepo (vegetable marrow) is the source of this 883-nucleotide non-coding RNA. The record is from RefSeq and is a predicted model, not a curated record. Lineage: Eukaryota; Viridiplantae; Streptophyta; Magnoliopsida; Cucurbitales; Cucurbitaceae.
UGCGUGUAAUGGAAGAACCACUACCUCGCCGGACGGCAUGAAAUCGCUCUUCAACUCCGAUUCCGACUGUGUAAAAGCCAGCCUCGGCGUCAAUCUGAUAAUGAAGCGCUUUCACAAUCACUUCCGCCGCGUAUUCUAACCGUCUCGCCGGCCAUCGGCUAUCCAUAUUCGAGAUUGCGGUGGCGAAUUUUCUGUACCGUAUUUGCUUCUCCUUCACCAGAGAAGGCUGCUUGAUUCGCUGCAGAGAUUGUCUGGAAGGAGGAGGAGAUUUCACGAUUGGUUGGAUCGAUUUCUUCUGAAUCGUGAUUCUGUCCCAAAGAUCCAUAACUUCUCUGCCACAAAGAAACUUGGAUCCUCCUUCGAUGCCAUUGAUGCAAAGCAAAUGCCCGAAGCCAUUGCAGUGAAUCAAGCCAUGGAGAAGAUGAGUCUGAUCAUCAAGAUCAAAUCCAUCAUCUAAACGUUUAUUCCACCGAUCAUCCAAAGGAUUCAAGGAUUGAAAUCGACAUCGGUGAAGAUGAACUUCAGUUCUUCUUCUUGGAUUUGGGGGCUUCUUCUUCGAGUUCUUUCAUGUUAACUGAGAGAGUGAAUCGUGAAGUUUGUUGGAGAUUCGCCGGUAACUUACUAGAAUGACGAGCGGUCAUGGAGCUGCAUCCCUACUCAUCUGGUCCAACUGAAAGCCUCUUUUUAGGUCGGGGAUCCUUUACUUCGAUAGCAUCUAGGCUUCUUUACAGUUGUGUGUAAUAUAAUAGUAAUAAGGGCUCUGAGUUCAGUUGUUAGCUAGAGUGUCUGUCUUUACUCCUAUAGACUUAAGAGAGUAGGCCUUACUGAAGCUCAUAGACCUCCAUUUGCCUAGUCCUAUCCUUAAUAGAUAACUUCCGCUUUA